This 1879-nucleotide long non-coding RNA is filed under the name Schizosaccharomyces pombe (fission yeast). RNAcentral's name for it is "centromeric lncRNA". The record is from RNAcentral. Lineage: Eukaryota; Fungi; Ascomycota; Schizosaccharomycetes; Schizosaccharomycetales; Schizosaccharomycetaceae.
ACAACCGCUUUAACCUUUCAUACAAAACUUUUGUGUAUUCACAGAAGCAUCCACUGGGCGGGAAACCAUUUUUCUUGUUUCUGCAUGUAUUCUUAGAAGAGAUUUAAGCUUUCCCUUGAAUUUUCGAAUGUUGAUAAAAACAAAAUAAUAGACUUUGGAAAGGUGAUUCAAUGAAUAAACAUGAAACGUUCACCGUACAUUAAUUAAGCAUCCUUUUCGACCACCCUGACUUGUUCUCUCAUCACAUCUUGAUAACCAUUUACACGAGAGAUUUAAAUGAAGAAGAAUGAAAGAUUCACUUUGACGAGUCUUGGAACCCCUAACUUGGAAAGGCACAGAUCAUGAUUGCUACAAAAGCAUUUGCACUCGGUUUCAGCUAUAGGAAGUGUGAUUGGUCGUACAUGAUGGAUUGACAUUCUCGUCUAUUUGGAUCACAUACAGAAGACAAGCCAAGUCAGAGCAGACAAUACGUAUGCGAUUGAGACAUUAUUUUUGUGAAAUUUAUGAUUCUUCCACAUGUUUGAAUGAUGUAGAAGAUGCACAGGAAACUUUUAAUGAUGAUACGAUAUCGGUUCAAUCACAAUUCAUAAGCGAAACGAAUGCCAAAUACUAAUACUAUAUAUCCAUGAAUCAUUUACCAAUAGUAUUUUUACUGUUCGUGAAUGCUGAGAAAGUUUAUGUCUAAUGUAUUAGCUGUGUCAACCAUUUAUAGUGUGAAGCCACUUUCCACUUGCAACGCUAAGGAUACCGAGACGCAGGAUACCUAGACGCAUAAAUACAUUAUGCUAGUGGCACGGCCAAAAUUAUUUACUCCAAAGUCUUUAUCCUCUUCGUUUAUAUCGCUAACAAGAAAUCGUAGUCACAAAUGUACAUACGUUGAAACAUUUAAACAACGUACAACAAGCCAAUAAUGACAAGAAUGGAGAUGAAAGUGGUGAUGGUUAGUGGUAGUCGUGGUAGUAAUGGAAGUGGUAAGUGGAAGUGGUGGUGGUGGUGGUAGUGCUUGUGGUAAGUGGAAGUGGUAGUGGUAGUGGUGCUGUGCUGAUGCUGGCGCCGAUACUGGUGAUGAUGUUGAUGCCUAUACUGACACUAGUACUGACACUAGAUGACACUAGUACUGGUACUAAUGGUACCAUUCAACUUGGCAAGUAUAAGACUUAUGUGUGUAAGUGGUAAAAAAUCAAUGAGUAAACUCCACUAAGAAAAUUUCACAACUCCGUUGAUUCUUUUGAGUAUACAAACAUGAACGUUCAAGUUUUACCUUUGUUAAUUCAAUUCUAAUUAUACUGGUUUGUACUUGCUAAGCAUGUCCUGUUCACUUAUCUAAUUCGUUUCAAUUGCGGCAACUCUGGUCCGAUUUAUAAUUCGAAGAACUGAGUUUUUACCCUUUGGAUAAAGUUUUUCAACAUACUUACAAUGAUUAUGGUCUCCACUCCUGACGUAGUUCCAUGUGGUAAUAGAACACAAACUUCAAAAUCUCAUCACUAUAUUAUACUUGGUACAACAUGCAAUACCGAUUGUAUAUACCGAAUACAGUUUCCUAUUGCAAUGAAUGUGAUUUAAUCAUUUUAUGGGAGUUUUUUCAUUCAAAACUGCUUUAAAUCUAAAAACUCUUCUUUAUUCUUGACACUCGUAUAUGUUGUCUGAUAUUCCUAUUCGUGUUUCAAUAACGAAGUUUACUUUCAUUCAAAUAAAUAGAACCAAUCAAGUUUACUAGUGCUUAUUUUUUUCUUUUUUAAUAAAAAGAAUGAAUAUUAGGUGUAUGAUAUGAAUACGUUUUUGUUUGUUUGUUUGCAAAUUAAAAUUAAAAACAACAAAAAAUUAAAGCUACUGAUUUAACUUUGCUUAUUCCAUAACACUUCUUACUCAAUCUCACAUA